RNAcentral lists this ribosomal RNA (253 nucleotides) under uncultured bacterium. RNAcentral's name for it is "partial 16S ribosomal RNA". It matches the Rfam family "Bacterial small subunit ribosomal RNA", at positions 524 to 776 of the family's 1533-position model. The record is from RNAcentral.
UACGGAGGGGGCAAGCGUUGUUCGGAAUUACUGGGCGUAAAGGGCGCGUAGGCGGCCUGUUAAGUCGAACGUGAAAUCCCCGGGCUCAACCCGGGAACUGCGUCCGAUACUGGCAGGCUUGAAUUCGGGAGAGGGAUGCGGAAUUCCAGGUGUAGCGGUGAAAUGCGUAGAUAUCUGGAGGAACACCGGUGGCGAAGGCGGCAUCCUGGACCGAGAUUGACGCUGAGGCGCGAAAGCCAGGGGAGCAAACGGG